AGGGCCAUCGCUCAACGGAUAAAAGGUACUCCGGGGAUAACAGGCUGAUACCGCCCAAGAGUUCAUAUCGACGGCGGUGUUUGGCACCUCGAUGUCGGCUCAUCACAUCCUGGGGCUGAAGUCGGUCCCAAGGGUAUGGCUGUUCGCCAUUUAAAGUGGUACGCGAGCUGGGUUUAGAACGUCGUGAGACAGUUCGGUCCCUAUCUGCCGUGGGCGUUGGAAGAUUGAAGGGGGCUGCUCCUAGUACGAGAGGACCGGAGUGGACGAACCUCUGGUGUUCGGGUUGUGAUGCCAAUCGCAUUGCCCGGUAGCUAAGUUCGGAAUCGAUAACCGCUGAAAGCAUCUAAGCGGGAAGCGAGCCCUGAGAUGAGUCUUCCCUGGCGCUUUAAGCGUCCUAAAGGGUUGUUCGAGACUAGAACGUUGAUAGGCAGGGUGUGUAAGCGUUGUGAGGCGUUGAGCUAACCUGUACUAAUUGCCCGUGAGGCUUAACCAUACAACACCC
RNAcentral lists this ribosomal RNA (502 nucleotides) under Vibrio mediterranei AK1. RNAcentral's name for it is "bacterial LSU rRNA". It matches the Rfam family "Bacterial large subunit ribosomal RNA", at positions 2438 to 2925 of the family's 2925-position model. Lineage: Bacteria; Pseudomonadati; Pseudomonadota; Gammaproteobacteria; Vibrionales; Vibrionaceae. The record is from RNAcentral.